Nomascus leucogenys (northern white-cheeked gibbon) is the source of this 619-nucleotide long non-coding RNA. RefSeq lists it as uncharacterized. The record is from RefSeq and is a predicted model, not a curated record. The transcript has 4 exons. Lineage: Eukaryota; Metazoa; Chordata; Mammalia; Primates; Hylobatidae.
GUGGGACCACAAAGGUGGCUUCCACAGGGCAUAGUGGUUAUCAGCUGUGCCUCCCCUCUUAGAGGUCCUCGGAGUCCGGAGUCCUCGAAGGGAAAUCUGACACAAUGAAGCAGGUAAAUGAAGGAGAAAAGAAAAGAACAAAAUCCACCGGGAACCAGAGACUUCCAGGCUCCAAGACAGGCAAUCUCCACCAGGAAUAGAGACAGGAUUUCACCAUGUCGCCCAGGCUGAUCUCAGACUCCUGACCUGGAUCUUCCCACCUCAGCCUCUGAACGUGCUGGGAUUACAGCUUAAAUAGUUCCACUUGAAGUUCACAACUGCCAAAACCGCGUGUUCAGACUGAAAGGCUGGGAGCAUUUGAGACGCAUUUAUGAACUUCCACCAAGAUGAUCCGGCAGGCUGAAGUCGCAGGGAGAGGGUCUGUUCAACAAACCCUUUCUUCUUGAUUGAAUUAGUAUUGGCCACUAACAGGAUGAGGAUUUCCCACUCCACAAGCUGACUUUUUUUCCUCUUUCCACCUCCCGCCUCCCUCCAUUAAAAUGUAAACUUGAUUCCUCUGUCCUUUGCAGGAGCCUGGCUUCCCUGUAAGCCCAUCAUAAACAUCUUGGUAGAAAUGCAA